RNAcentral lists this long non-coding RNA (1220 nucleotides) under Equus caballus (horse). RNAcentral describes it as "lncRNA (ENSECAG00000057200.1)". The record is from RNAcentral. Lineage: Eukaryota; Metazoa; Chordata; Mammalia; Perissodactyla; Equidae.
UGCUUGUUAACCGUUUAUCUCAACUAGAAGCGCUGGGGGUCUAGUGGUGAAGAUUCAGGACUCUCACCACUGCAGCCCGGGUUCACUCCCGGUCAGGGAACCAGAUCAUCCCUCUGUGGGUUGUCAUUCUGUGGUGGCUGAAUGUUGCUGUGAUGCAGAAAGCUAUGCCACGGGUACUUCAAAUGCCAGAAGGGUCACCCUUGGUGGACAGGCUUCAGCAGAGCUUCCAGACUAAGACGGGCUCCGAAGAAGGAUCUGGCCACCCACUUCCCAAGAAAUUGGCCAUGAAAACCCUGCAAAUAGCAGCAACGUAUUGUCUGCUAGAGUGCCCGAAGAUCCUUCUAAACGCAGGUGGGGAGCUGACUCAGGCAAUGGGACUUUAACAUAUGGAGACCAGGGGCCGGCCUCGUGGCCAGGUGGUUGAGUUUGUGCGCUCUGCUGUGGCGGCCCGGGAUUUCACCAGUUCGAAUCAUGGGCGCGGACAUGGCACCGCUCAUCAACCCAUGCUGAGGCGGCAUCCCACACGCCACAACUAGAAGGACCCACAACUAAAAAUAUACAACUCUGUACCAGGGGGCUUUGGGAGAAAAAGAAAAGAUAAAAUCUUAAAAAAAUGAAUAAAUAAAAUAAAAUAUGGAGACCAAGAGCAAAGUGUUUCUCACCUUUGACAAAGUGCGGGGCCUGAACAUGAGAAUGAGCAGGGCAGAGAAAGCUGAAGUCCAAAUCAGCCAUCAGCCGCCUCCCCGGCCGCCACACCCAAGGACCCAGAAGAGGAUUUACAUAGGAGCUCAGACCACGUGCUCCAAUUCACGGCUUGCCUUUAGGGCUAAUAAAUGGGCUGGGAAGAGAACUGAUGCCAAAAUCCUCCUCCUUCAAACCCAGGCUGGACAGCCACUGGCCCCAGAUCUGCGAAAGGGACCUUGUGAGUCAGAUGGAGGGAUGGCUGAGUCAGUGGGCCUCACGCCUGGCUGCACACCAGAGUCUCCUGGACAUUCUAAAGCCCUACCUCAUGAGUGGAAUCUAUGCAGAUGGUGCCCGGGAAUCUGUAUGUUUAAAGAGCUACCAGCCGCUCCUCAGACCAACACUUGGUAACCAACACGCCGAGAAGACCCCUAAGGGCACUUCCGCCCCAUGACUGUGGGACAGUGAGUGGGGCUUGCCCUAAGGGAGUUUUAAGGAUAGCGGAAGUAUAUUGGGUCGUCUGUUUGGGAAGGUGCUCU